This 72-nucleotide transfer RNA is filed under the name Microgenomates group bacterium. RNAcentral describes it as "tRNA-Cys". It matches the Rfam family "tRNA". Rfam says of the family: Transfer RNA (tRNA) molecules are approximately 80 nucleotides in length. Their secondary structure includes four short double-helical elements and three loops (D, anti-codon, and T loops). Further hydrogen bonds mediate the characteristic L-shaped molecular structure. tRNAs have two regions of fundamental functional importance: the anti-codon, which is responsible for specific mRNA codon recognition, and the 3' end, to which the tRNAs corresponding amino acid is attached (by aminoacyl-tRNA synthetases). tRNAs cope with the degeneracy of the genetic code in two manners: having more than one tRNA (with a specific anti-codon) for a particular amino acid; and 'wobble' base-pairing, i.e. permitting non-standard base-pairing at the 3rd anti-codon position. The record is from RNAcentral.
GGCCCGGUGGCGAAGAGGUAACGCGGUUGUCUGCAAAACAACUAUGCACCGGUUCAAGUCCGGUCCGGGCCU